Molecule: ribosomal RNA, 799 nt
Filed under: Trechispora sp.
Lineage: Eukaryota; Fungi; Basidiomycota; Agaricomycetes; Trechisporales; Hydnodontaceae
Description: partial small subunit ribosomal RNA
Rfam family: Bacterial small subunit ribosomal RNA
Source: RNAcentral
GAAUCCUUACUUGUGUCAAGUUGAGGAUAAAGGAUUGGAAAAUAAUGAUAGUACUUUCCUAUUAGUGUUGUCAAAAUGCUGGUGCCAGAAGACUCGGUAAGGCCAGAAACGCAAACGUUAGUAGUCUUAAUCAGGCGUAAAGGGUUCGUAGACUGCUUUGUAUUACAAUGUUCUCACUAGUUUUCAAUUAACUUUAUUUUGCUUUAACAUUCUUUUUUGCCGCGUAAGCGACUAAUUAUUAAAGAGGUGUCGCCCCCUAGCGUAAGCAAGGGAGGCGCUAUAAAGAUCGGAUAAAGGUAAACUAGUAACAGAGGCAGAAGUAUAAGACACAAAGAUAGAAUCUUAUGCAAGGUACUAAGAGAAAUACUUUAAGUAAGGAUGAAAUCUUUAGACCUAAAGUGGAAGACUAAGGGCGAAAGCUAUUUACCUAGUAAAGAUUGACGUUGAGGAACGUAGGUUAGGGUAGAAAAAAGGAUUAGAUACCCAAGUAUUCCUAUCUGUUAACGAUGAGUGGUUAGUUAUUCAGUUAUAUUUUAUAUAUUCUGUGGUUUGUCUAGGAAAGUAUUCCUUAGUUUGCUAGGGCCUUCCACAUUAUAAGUGGUGUAUAUCUAAUUAUUUGCCUUUUUAUAUGUACUGAAGUUAAUAACUUAAACAACUUAUGAAUAUAUGAAUUAAUUACAUGCUUCGCGCUUAAACUGAAAAGCGUAGCUAACGCAAUUACCAUUCCGCCUUGUAAGUACGACUGCAAAGUUGAAAACAAAAAAAUUAGUCGGUUUCGGAGCAAACGAAGUGAAGCAUG